Molecule: unclassified non-coding RNA, 332 nt
Filed under: uncultured Bacilli bacterium
Lineage: Bacteria; Bacillati; Bacillota; Bacilli
Description: partial contains 16S ribosomal RNA, 16S-23S ribosomal RNA intergenic spacer, and 23S ribosomal RNA
Rfam family: Bacterial large subunit ribosomal RNA (bases 200-332)
Source: RNAcentral
UGCGGCUGGAUCCCCUCCUUUCUAAGGAAUAUCCUGUCCUGACGGACAGAUAAAAAGUUGACUGUUUCUUGUUUGUUUAGUUUUGAGGGAGCAAUUCUCUCAAAACUUUUUUAAUCUCGUCCUUUGAAAACUAGAUAAUCAUAUAGAAGAAACCAAGUAAGAACCGAGUAAAUCGCCAUUUUAGGUUUUCAACCUUUUAGGUUAAGUUAGAAAGGGCGCACGGUGAAUGCCUUGGCACUAGGAGCCGAUGAAGGACGGUACUAACACCGAUAUGCUUCGGGGAGCUGUAAGUAAGCUUUGAUCCGGAGAUUUCCGUAAUGGGGAAACCCGGA